This 71-nucleotide transfer RNA is filed under the name Culex quinquefasciatus (southern house mosquito). It matches the Rfam family "tRNA". From Rfam's summary of the family: Transfer RNA (tRNA) molecules are approximately 80 nucleotides in length. Their secondary structure includes four short double-helical elements and three loops (D, anti-codon, and T loops). Further hydrogen bonds mediate the characteristic L-shaped molecular structure. tRNAs have two regions of fundamental functional importance: the anti-codon, which is responsible for specific mRNA codon recognition, and the 3' end, to which the tRNAs corresponding amino acid is attached (by aminoacyl-tRNA synthetases). tRNAs cope with the degeneracy of the genetic code in two manners: having more than one tRNA (with a specific anti-codon) for a particular amino acid; and 'wobble' base-pairing, i.e. permitting non-standard base-pairing at the 3rd anti-codon position. The record is from Rfam by way of RNAcentral. Lineage: Eukaryota; Metazoa; Arthropoda; Insecta; Diptera; Culicidae.
GGACCCAUGGUGUAAGUGUAAGCGUGGUUGCCCCUCACCCAAUCAGUCUGGGUUCGAUCCCAGUAGGUCCC